GGGGAAUAUUGCGCAAUGGGGGAAACCCUGACGCAGCAACGCCGCGUGAGUGAAGAAGGCCUUCGGGUUGUAAAGCUCUGUCAAUAGGGAAGAAGUCUUGCUAAAUAAAAAAGAGUAAGGUGACGGUACCUAAGAAGGAAGCCCCGGCUAACUACGUGCCAGCAGCCGCGGUAAUACGUAGGGGGCAAGCGUUGUCCGGAAUUACUGGGCGUAAAGGGCGUGUAGGCGGCCUCAUAAGUUAGGUGUGAAAGACAAGGGCUCAACCCUUGGAUUGCAUCUAAAACUGUGAGACUUGAGGAUGAGAGAGGAAAGUGGAAUUCCUAGUGUAGCGGUGAAAUGCGUAGAUAUUAGGAGGAACACCAGUGGCGAAGGCGACUUUCUGGCUCAUACCUGACGCUGAGGCGCGAAAGCGUGGGGAGCAAAC
This 424-nucleotide ribosomal RNA is filed under the name uncultured bacterium. RNAcentral describes it as "bacterial SSU rRNA". It matches the Rfam family "Bacterial small subunit ribosomal RNA", at positions 356 to 773 of the family's 1533-position model. The record is from RNAcentral.